Molecule: ribosomal RNA, 468 nt
Filed under: uncultured bacterium
Lineage: Bacteria
Description: partial 16S ribosomal RNA
Rfam family: Bacterial small subunit ribosomal RNA
Source: RNAcentral
GACGAACGCUGGCGGCGUGCUUAACACAUGCAAGUCGAACGGAAAGGCCCUGCUUUUGUGGGGUGCUCGAGUGGCGAACGGGUGAGUAACACGUGAGUAACCUGCCCUUGACUUUGGGAUAACUUCAGGAAACUGGGGCUAAUACCGGAUAGGAGCUCCUGCUGCAUGGUGGGGGGUGGAAAGUUUCGGCGGUUGGGGAUGGACUCGCGGCUUAUCAGCUUGUUGGUGGGGUAGUGGCUUACCAAGGCAUUGACGGGUAGCCGGCAUGAGAGGGUGACCGGCCACAUUGGGACUGAGAUACGGCCCAGACUCCUACGGGAGGCAGCAGUGGGGAAUAUUGCACAAUGGGCGGAAGCCUGAUGCAGCAACGCCGCGUGCGGGAUGGCGGCCUUCGGGUUGUAAACCGCUUCCGCCUGUGACGAAGCGUGAGUGACGGUAAUGGGUAAAGAAGCACCGGCUAACUACGUG